UCUACUUGAGUGUACCGAGUCAGGCUCCGUAGGACAGCGAAGUGCUGGGAGUUGCCACAGGGAUUAUAGAUGCGUGUCCGCGUGGGCAUUUUCUUGUUUUCCUGGUGUGGCAGCACUGGCAGCACCUGGGACUUGUUAGAUAUGCAAAUUCUCGGGCUCCCUCAGAUGUUCUAAACUAGAUGGACGGACCCCAGCAAUUUGUGCUUUAACAAGGUAUCCGGGUGAUGCCGAGGACUGCUGCUGUAGGAGGGGCUCAGGGGGAAGAAAGCGGAGAAAGUGGAGCUGGGGCCUCUUUGGGCUGCAGGAGGACUCUGAGAAGGUUGGCAAGCCGUGUCCUGGUUUAUCUGGAUUGCUGGCUUGAAGGGCCUCUGAGGCAUCCUCCCAUCGAAUUCUGCUUCCUGGAAGGGGAAUCCCAUCAGCAGGAGGAGCCUUGGGCAGCAAGGGGUGAGAUACCACUAUGAGAAGACUUACAAGAAAUGGAUGAGGAGGCAUCCACCAUCCAGGCCUUGCAGCAAGACCCACUCACCCAAUGACUCCCGUUCCCAGAGCUUCUGCACGUCUCUCCUUGCCGAGCCGCUGUGGAGGCAGCCAGCCACCGCGUGGCGGGAAACCCAAAUCGCAGCUUCCAAUGGCGCAGGGUCCAGCCUCAGCAGCGAGACUUUUCUGUUCCUGUUUUAGCACCAGGACUGCAUUCCAAGUUGGUUUCUCUCAGCCGAGUUCGUUCCUGAGUCAGCAGAGCAUAACUCCACCUGCUUAUGUCUCUUUAGUCCGCACCAUACCUGGCUUCUGAGCCUCGUUUUCAGAGAGCCUCCGGUAGUUGCUGUUAUCUGUCCGCCAUGUUCUCCCGGAAG
Long non-coding RNA from Cavia porcellus (domestic guinea pig), 851 nucleotides. RefSeq lists it as uncharacterized. The transcript is spliced from 3 exons. The record is from RefSeq and is a predicted model, not a curated record. Lineage: Eukaryota; Metazoa; Chordata; Mammalia; Rodentia; Caviidae.